CAAGAGAAAAGAUUAAACCCAUAGAUGAAGCUGAUGUGCCCAUGGCAUCGUCCUCCCUCAAAGAUGAUGAUGCAUUACAAUGAGGGAGCCAAGAGACAAGUUUAAACCCAAGAUGAAGCUGAUGCGCCCAUGGCAUCGUCCUCCCUCAAAGAUGAUGAGCAGGGCACACCGAUCUUCCUCAUGUUGAUAUGCCCAUGGCAUCGUCCUCCCUCAAAGAUGAUGAGCAGGGCACACCGAUCUUCCUCAUGUUGAUAUGCCCAUGGCAUCGUCCUCCCUCAAAGAUGAUGAGCAGGGCACACCGAUCUUCCUCAUGUUGAUAUGCCCAUGGCAUCGUCCUCCCUCAAAGAUGAUGAGCAGGGCACACCGAUCUUCCUCAUGUUGAUAUGCCCAUGGCAUCGUCCUCCCUCAAAGAUGAUGAGCAGGGCAUACCGAUCGUCCUCAUGUUGAUACGCCCAUGGCAUCGUCCUCCCUCAAAGAUGAUGAGCAGGGCACACCGAUCUUCCUCAUGUUGAUACGCCCAUGGCAUCGUCCUCCCUCAAAGAUGAUGAGCAGGGCAUACCGAUCUUCCUCAUGUUGAUAUGCCCAUGGCAUCGUCCUCCCUCAAAGAUGAUGAGCAGCAUUUCCUGAAAAUGGUGCUGAAGGGGAAAAUCCUCAAAGGAAACAAAAAUCUCCAUGAUGUCCCACAGAGAUUGGAGCAGUGAGGAGACAUUUCUGUGGGCACAUUGCUAAUGGGAGACUAUCCAUUGUGAUUAAAAUCAAACAGUGUAAAAAUGCUCAAUGUCCUGUAUGAGACAGUCGCUCUUUUCAAAAUGUAAGCGACUUUGUCAUGAAUCAUGGUUUAAUGCUAAAAAAGAGGAACAGUUGUUAAAUAAUCAGGUUAAAAAAAUCUAUAGACACAUCUGAGACAUAUACAUGUUUGCAAAAGUCAUUUAGUUUGCAGUAGGGCUGGGCCAUAUCAUACCGUUCACGGUAAUACCGGUAUAAUUUUGGGCAACGAUAAGAAAAUGAAAUAUUGCGAUAGAA
Long non-coding RNA from Oreochromis niloticus (Nile tilapia), 1023 nucleotides. RefSeq lists it as uncharacterized. The transcript is spliced from 10 exons. The record is from RefSeq and is a predicted model, not a curated record. Lineage: Eukaryota; Metazoa; Chordata; Actinopteri; Cichliformes; Cichlidae.